Oryzias melastigma (Indian medaka) is the source of this 606-nucleotide long non-coding RNA. RefSeq lists it as uncharacterized. Lineage: Eukaryota; Metazoa; Chordata; Actinopteri; Beloniformes; Adrianichthyidae. The transcript is spliced from 2 exons. The record is from RefSeq and is a predicted model, not a curated record.
GGCCGGACUUGACUUUGACACGUGAUCUAGAGCCUUCGGAGUAAACCGUUAUGUUUGUUCCAUCUCAUAAACUUUCAACGUUAAUUGACAGUUUGAUGGGGAUCAUCAUACAGAUGUCUGCUGUCACCAAGACUCCAACAGUUUCUGCAGCGAUGUGUGAUUUAUCUGAUGCACCACGAACGCACCACGAGCGCACCACGAGCCAGGUUAAAGUGAUUUUAGCAGAGUUCACCUGUCAGAGCUUUAUUUUAUGAUGCCACUUUGCUCAGGUGAUAAAACACUGGAAACACAACGAAGGUCGAUGGUGCCAGAUGUGGCCAAGAAAGAGAAGCAGGAAGACGAAGUCACCAGCCAGCUUGACAAGCACGUGCUUCUCUGAGCUGUUGUAGUGGAAGCUGGAGAAACAGAAGGAACAGGCCACGAGCUGCUGCCUAUCUGCAGGAAGCAGGCAAACACGGGAAGAUGUGCUUGCAAAGGCAGUUCACAUUUCUGCUGAGAUGACUACUCUGAUAGACUAUUAUAAUUAUUGUGUGCUGGAAAAGCAUCUUUGAUAGCAUUUAUGAAGUGACAACUAAUUAAAAUAAUAGACGUCUCUUUCAGUUCAAA